RNAcentral lists this ribosomal RNA (527 nucleotides) under Pseudogymnoascus sp. F09-T18-1. RNAcentral describes it as "eukaryotic LSU rRNA". The stretch from base 185 to 338 matches the Rfam family "5.8S ribosomal RNA". The record is from RNAcentral. Lineage: Eukaryota; Fungi; Ascomycota; Leotiomycetes; Thelebolales; Thelebolaceae.
AAGGAUCAUUACAGUAGUCGCCCGGGUUGCCGCAAGGCCUCCCGGGUAACCUACCACCCUUUGUUUAUUACACUUUGUUGCUUUGGCAAGCCUGCCCUCGGGCUGCUGGCUCCGGCCGGCGAGCGCUUGCCAGAGGACCUAAACUCUGUUUGUCUAUACUGUCUGAGUACUAUAUAAUAGUUAAAACUUUCAACAACGGAUCUCUUGGUUCUGGCAUCGAUGAAGAACGCAGCGAAAUGCGAUAAGUAAUGUGAAUUGCAGAAUUCAGUGAAUCAUCGAAUCUUUGAACGCACAUUGCGCCCCCUGGUAUUCCGGGGGGCAUGCCUGUCCGAGCGUCAUUACAACCCUCAAGCUCAGCUUGGUGUUGGGCCCCGCCGCCCCGGCGGGCCCUAAAGUCAGUGGCGGUGCCGUCCGGCUCCGAGCGUAGUAAUUCUUCUCGCUCUGGAGGUCCGGUCGUGUGCUCGCCAGCAACCCCCAAUUUUUUUCAGGUUGACCUCGGAUCAGGUAGGGAUACCCGCUGAACUUAA